AAACCAUAGGUGAACUAUGCCACCUUCAUCGAAGAAAUUCCUCGUGUAACAUUACACGUGGUGUAGACAUUACAGCACCCAAUAAAUGUUAUAAGUUAUUCUUCAUAUCUUUCUGACAAAAGAAGCUUUAAUAUGACCUUCCAUGUGGUGCAGACAAUACAGCACCCAAAAAACAUGCCCCACAUAUUACAUUGGAAGUUAGAGGGCGAUUAUACAAGGAUAUGGUUCGACUUUGAUAUAAAUUACAUUACAUGGCUUCAAGUAAUAAAUAAUUAGUGAUACAUGAUAAUAUUAUGUUCAUAAUGAGAGUAUUGUGAUAAAGAUAUAAUAGUAUUAAGUAAGAUCA
Aricia agestis (brown argus) is the source of this 346-nucleotide long non-coding RNA. RefSeq lists it as uncharacterized. The record is from RefSeq and is a predicted model, not a curated record. The transcript is spliced from 3 exons. NCBI's taxonomy places the organism in Eukaryota, Metazoa, Arthropoda, Insecta, Lepidoptera, Lycaenidae.